UAAAAGAAAGAGACCCUCACAAAUUCUGGCCGACCGGUGAAUAGUACGCGUAUUGCGGGCCUCCCUCCUGCAUAAGCUACGACUUUCUAAUACGUGGCUGUCUCCUUUUGACAAAUUGUUAAUUUUCUGGCAAAAGAGAAUAAGGAAGGAGAGGCUUUCUCAGCCACCGAACAGAACAAAAAUGGCUGCAGAAUCUGCAGUAGCAAUAGUAGUACAAAGACUGACGGACUUGCUCAUUCAAGAAGCAAUUUACUUAGAAGGAGUAAAAGAUGAAGUUAUUAGUAUGCAAUUUGAACUAAGGCGAAUGCAGUCUUUUUUAAAAGAUGCAGAUUCAAGAAAAGAAGAAGAAGAUAAUAAAGAAACUCUUCGCAAUUGGGUUUCUGAGAUAAGAGAAACUGCUUAUGAUAUUGAAGAUAUUAUUGAAGAAUUCGCUCUUAAAGUUGCUUUAAAGCGAGGAUCAGGCGUGGUCAAUGUUAUCAAAAGGUAUGCUUCCAUUGCUAAAGAAUCUGUAGAGCUUUACAAGGUUGGAUCUGAAAUUGGAACUGUAAAAUCAAGAAUUGCUGCUCUUUAUUCCAAUUUGCAAACUAUUGGUAUACAACCUAGAGAAAGAGAAAAUCCAUCAGUUUCUUCUUCAAGGCAACAACUCGUGAGGCGGUCCUAUUCACAUUUUGUUGAAGAAGAUAUUGUUGGUUUAGAAGAAGAUGUGAAAAUUUUGGUGGGCAUAUUGUUGAAAAGUGAAAGAACUUUUGUUUCUAUUUAUGGAAUGGGCGGACUUGGAAAGACAACUCUUGCUAGGAAGGUUUAUCAUAAUAGUGAUGUUAGGCAUUGUUUUGAUGCCUUUGCUUGGGCUUGUAUAUCUCAACAAUUUCAAGUAAGGGAUGUUUGGGAAGGAAUUUUGUUUGAGUUAAUAAAUCCUUCUAAGGAGCAAAGAGAGGAAAUUUCUAGUCUAAGAGAUGAUGAAGUGGCUAAAAGGCUUUAUAAAGUUCAACAAGAGAAGAAAUGUCUGGUCAUUCUUGAUGAUAUUUGGACUGUUGAGACUUGGAAUAAUUUGUGUCCUGCUUUUCCUUAUGGAAGAAGAAAUUCGGGUAGUAAAAUAAUGCUCACAACUCGGGUUAGAGAUGUUGCUUUGUUUCCAGAUCCAAUGUCUUUUCUACAUCAACCUCGAUGUUUGAAUGAUGAAGAGAGCUGGGAAUUGUUUAAAAGGAAAGCAUUUCUUGAUAAAAAUUAUCCAGACUAUAGAGCUAGAGCAGAAAUGGAGAAAUUAGGAACGGAAAUGGUUGGAAAAUGUACAGGCCUACCAUUGGCAAUCAUUGUGCUUGGAGGACUACUGGCAACUAAAACAAGUAUCUAUGAGUGGGAUAAAGUUAGUCAAAAUAUUAUUUCCCACUUGAGGAGAGGCAAAGGCUUUGGAGUAUCAGAGGUUUUAGCUUUAAGCUAUCAUGAAUUGCCAUAUCAGUUGAAACCUUGCUUUCUUCACUUGGCUCAUUUUCCGCAAGACUAUGAAAUACCUACGAAAAAGUUAAUCCAAAUGUGGAUUGCCGAAGGAUUCAUAUCAUCUAUGCACAAUGAUGAAAUGGAAGAGGAAAUUAUGGAAGAUGUGGCUCAACGUUACUUAGAUGAGUUGGUUGAGAGGUGUAUGGUUCAAGUAGUAGAAAGGGGUUCAACUGGAAGUAUUAGAACUUGUCGUAUGCAUGAUCUUAUGCGAGACUUGUGUUUGUCAAAGGCAAAGCAAGAAAAUUUUGUUGAAAGUUUCAGUCAAUUACAUGUAAAUGAUCAAACAAUCUAUUCUUUUCCUCAAGCCAUCGUAAGUGAUGCAAGGUCAUUUGGUAGACUUCGUAGGCUAGCUGUAUAUUCUAAUGGAGUCCUUAAAAAAUUUAUCCCCUCUCGAUACAAAAGGAAUUCCCAUCUCAGGUCUCUUUUGUAUUUCCAUGAAAAGGCAUGUCAUGUGGAGAAAUGGGGAUCUAUAAAAUCUGUGUUCAAAAAUUUUAAGUUCCUCAGAGUCUUAGAUCUUGAAGGAAUGCAAGGUCAAAAUGGCAAGUUACCUAAAGAAAUCGGCAAGCUUAUUCACUUGAGAUUCUUCAGCUUGAGAGAUACUGAUAUAGAUGAAUUGCCAGUUACAAUAGGGAAUUUGAGGUACUUGCAAACUCUAGACCUUUUGACUUGGAAUUCAACUAUAGCAAUACCAAAUGUGAUAUGGAAGAUGCAAAGACUAAGGCAUUUAUAUCUUCCCGAGUCUUGUGGUGAAGAUUCUGAAAGAUGGCAAUUGGCUUAUUUGUGCAACCUGCAAACACUAGUCAACUUUCCUGCAGAAAAAUGCAAGAUAAAAGAUCUGUUGAGUUUGACUAAUCUAAAGAAACUAGUGAUAGAUGAUCCAAAAUUUGGACUGCUCUUCAAAUCUGGUGCUACAUUUAAUAAUUUGAAGUCUUUAUCUUUUGUAAGUAAUGAAGAUUCUACUGUAAAUGAAGUUAUAACAGGAUGUCCUUAUCUUUAUAAGCUGAACAUCGAGGGGCGGAUAGAGAAAUUACCAGAGUGGCAUCAAUUUUCUUCAAAUUUGGCCAAAUUAAACCUACAAGGAUCAAGACUUUCUGAAGAUCCAAUGAUGAAACUGGAGAGAUUACCCAACUUAAGAAUCCUCCGUUUACAAAUGGAUUCGUUCCUUGGGACAACAAUGGUUUGCGCUGAUAAAGGUUUUCCUCAGUUGAAGUCUUUGUUUCUUUUUGACUUGCCUAACCUUGAAGACUGGAAGGUGGAAGAAGGAGCCAUGGCUAAUCUUUGCCAAGUAGAGAUUUCAAAUUGCACAUCUAUGAAGAUGGUUCCUGAUGGACUAAAGUUUAUCAUCUCACUCCAGGAAAUAGAGAUCAGAUCAAUGCUUAAAGCAUUCAAGAUUAGGCUUGAAGAUGGAGGAGAAGAUUAUUACAAAAUUGAACAUGUGCCUUCUGUUGUGUUUAGAAAAAAAAUGCAGUUUUUAUCCUCAGAGAUCAAUUACAGAGAAUGUUCCCAUAAAGUUUCUUGUAAUUUGUUCAAAGUUGAAGAUGACAUAAAUGAUGAGGCAUGCGAGUUAGUCAAUGGAAUGGAACUGUCAAUUGGUGAUGGUGUUGAUACAAUCCGUGCUUACCUCUUCAAGGCAGUGAAAAAUAACAAUGGAAUUGGCAUACUGCUCUUGUCUGAUAUUUUUGGGUUUGAAGAUUCAUCUACAAGAGACUUUGCGUACCGUGUUGCCUGUAAUGGCUACAAUGUUCUGGUUCCUGACUUAUUUCGCGGAGACCCAUGGGGAAAAGACAGGCCAAAGUCCAUAUUUGAACAGUGGAUUAAGAAACAAGAAGCCAACAGGAUUGUGAAGGAUAUUGCCACAGCAGCAAAAUGGAUGGCUGAUGAACUUUUAGCUGCAGGAAUAUCAAAGAAGCUUGGCAUAAUUGGGUUUUGCUAUGGAGGAGGCCGAGUGGUGGACGUGCUAUCUGAAGACCAGGGAUCUUGUUUUAGCACUGGGGUCUCUUUUUACGGCACAAGGAUUGAUCCAUCAAUAGCUUCCAAUGUAAAGGUGCCAGUACUAUUUAUUUCAGGGGACGACGAUCCUCUUUGCUCAGUUGAUGUCUUGAAAGAUCUCGAGAAGCGCAUUGGUCAGGGAUCAAAGGUAGUUACUUUCGAGGGAAGAGGUCACAGCUUUGCACAUCGUCCUAACUCGCCCGAAGAAGAUGAAGAUGCAGAGCAGGCUUUUGCAAUUAUGAGAAAUUGGCUAAAUGAUGGUUUGGUUUAAGAAGAUUGAUGAAAUUUUAUGUAUGUUCACUGUGCAUAUCAAGCCUUGCUGCAUCUAUUAAUGAAGAAAUGGUGAAAUUUCCAUCACUCCAUAUAUCUGAUGCUGCAUCUGAUUUCUUUGUUUCAGGAGUUUGUUUGGCUGCUGCUUAAAUGAAAGAACUGACUUGAGGAAGUCAUCUACUUUGUCUAUAUUUUAGGUGUAUUGAGUCUGUAAUGUAGACUACUAGUAAAGCUAGCAUUGCAGGGUAGUAAUGUUAGAAUUCUGUAUUAGGUUUGUCAAAAGAAGGGUAAUAAAACUUCAUGAUCUUUUUCAUUAUAUCAAAAAAUUUGAUGAUCUUGUUUCUAAA
Molecule: non-coding RNA, 4100 nt
Organism: Jatropha curcas
Lineage: Eukaryota; Viridiplantae; Streptophyta; Magnoliopsida; Malpighiales; Euphorbiaceae
Source: RefSeq, a predicted model, not a curated record